Molecule: long non-coding RNA, 202 nt
Filed under: Prunus persica (peach)
Lineage: Eukaryota; Viridiplantae; Streptophyta; Magnoliopsida; Rosales; Rosaceae
Description: long non-coding RNA (PPER_LNC004016)
Source: RNAcentral
GAAUGACUAGAUGUAGUACUACAUAUAUAAGUUUUUGUGUGAGAUAGAUAUAUCUAACGUUUAAUUUAACAAAUUUUAUUUGGCAACAAAUCUGACCCAAAAGCAGAAAUAGAAUUUGUACUUUUGACCAGAAAAAUAUUUCACGAAGGAUUUAUUACAUAAUUAAAAGUUAAAUCUGUAUUUCUGCUUGGCUACAAUUUGU